Molecule: long non-coding RNA, 1104 nt
Filed under: Betta splendens (Siamese fighting fish)
Lineage: Eukaryota; Metazoa; Chordata; Actinopteri; Anabantiformes; Osphronemidae
Description: lncRNA (ENSBSLG00000018035.1)
Source: RNAcentral
GGUGUCUUCUCUAUUUGAAACUGCAUAUGGUCCAUCUCAAGGUGUUAUUGCAUAUAGUACUGUAUGUAUCAGACCUCUAUGGAUCCAAUAGCCCUGUCUAAUUCUGUCACAGCAGAAUUGGUCUGUUCAUCCUACAGUGGAAAUAUGCAAGUAAAGUUUAUCUGGCAAUAAAACAACAGAGGAUGUAAAAGCGCUCUGAUGGACUGGCGACCUGCCCAGGGCGUACCCCGCCUCUCGCCCACAGCCAGCUGGGAUAGGCUCCAGCUCCCUGCGACCCCACGCACGGGAUAAAGCGGAAUAGAAGAUGGAUGGGAUGGAUGAAAGAUGUAAAUGCAACUAAAGAUGUUGUAGAGGUUUAAAAACUGGUGCAGGGCCAUUUGAAGCAGUAUCAUCACGAGGAAACCAACCUACAUCUCAGCUCUUACCUGCUCAUCACGAUGAAGAUGAUCCUUCCUCUGACUCUCAUUUUGACGCUCUUUAGCACAGCUGGAGCUCUUAUGUGUGAAACCUGCACAAACACCCAGUGUUCAAGCACAGCACCAGUGACCUGUACCUCAGAGACCAUGUGUGUAACAGCUUCCAUCCAAGCCACUUCAUCUGGAACUACAGUGUCACAGAUCUUCAAGGCCUGUGCGUCGUCCUCCUUGUGUCCAGCUGCAGGAACUCAGACAUUUUCAGGUGAUCUGGGAGCUUCCAGUGCCGUCGCCUCUGCUCAGUGCUGCAACACUGACAACUGUAACUCAGCAACUCUGCCUUUCCCUGCUGCUCAGGGUAACAACGGCCUUCAGUGCUUCAGCUGUGACCCCACCACCUCCAUCUCCAACUGCACCACACCACUACAAUGCCGUGGAGUGGAGGACAGCUGCCUUCAAACAACAUGUGAGUCUAAAACCUAAUUGUUUUAGACUGAUUCCUACCAGCCUUUGAGGGGUUAAUGAGCUAGCUAGCUGUGUAGCUUACAGUACAUCGUACAGACAAACAAAGUGGACGAAGUUAGUAAGUGUCUGAAAAAAUUACAUUUACAUGCUACAAAAAGAUUUUUUUCCUCUAAUUACACACAAGACGUGGUUUUGGUUCUUAAGAAUCGCCUCCAUUAUACUUCCC